Enterobacter cloacae S611 is the source of this 436-nucleotide non-coding RNA. NCBI's taxonomy places the organism in Bacteria, Pseudomonadati, Pseudomonadota, Gammaproteobacteria, Enterobacterales, Enterobacteriaceae. The record is from Rfam.
AUCGGUUUGGAAGACAGACCUUAUGAAAGCAGUUUUAGUAAAGCAGUCCUCAGUUCAAGAGUUAUCCAAAGAUACCCUUCUUCGUGAGCCUCCUCCUAAGUGCCAAAUAAGAUACUCUCUAAUUACAGGCCAUUAUCGCCGCGCUAAGUGGCUCAUCUAUUAAGGAAUUAUCUAUGUCUAAUAAAAUGACUGGUUUAGUAAAAUGGUUCAACUCUGAUAAAGGUUUUGGCUUUAUCACUCCGGACGACGGCAGCAAAGAUGUAUUCGUACACUUCUCUGCAAUCCAGAGCGACAGCUACAAAACCCUGGAUGAAGGUCAGAAAGUUUCCUUCACCAUCGAAAACGGCGCUAAAGGCCCAGCAGCUGGCAACGUUACUGCCCUGUAAGCCGCGCUGAUUAUCAGCAAGCCUUACAACCGCGAUGACGGCGAUAGCCU